CAAUAGCGUAUAUUAAAGUUGUUGCGGUUAAAAGCUCGUAGUUGGAUUUCUGUUGAGAGCGGCCGGUCCACCUUUUGGGUGAGUAUCUGGAUUGGUCUCGGCAUCCUCACAACGAAUGUUUCUGCGCUUGAUUGCGUGGUAUAGGCGUUGUGACUUUUACUUUGAGGAAAUUAGAGUGUUUAAAGCAGGCUUUUGCUAUGAAUACAUUAGCAUGGAAUAAUAAUCUAGGACUUCGGUUCUAUUUUGUUGGUUUCUAGUACUGAAGUAAUGAUUGAUAGGGAUAGUUGGGGGUGGCUAGUAUUGGCCGGCCAGAGGUGAAAUUCUUGGAUUCGGUCAAGACUAACUUAUGCGAAAGCAUUCACCAAGGAUGUCUUCUUUAAUCAAGAACGAAAGUUGGGGGAUCGAAGACGAUUAGAUACCAU
Molecule: ribosomal RNA, 422 nt
Filed under: uncultured eukaryote
Lineage: Eukaryota
Description: bacterial SSU rRNA
Rfam family: Eukaryotic small subunit ribosomal RNA
Source: RNAcentral